Molecule: ribosomal RNA, 468 nt
Filed under: Bradyrhizobium sp. sbw3
Lineage: Bacteria; Pseudomonadati; Pseudomonadota; Alphaproteobacteria; Hyphomicrobiales; Nitrobacteraceae
Also listed under: 1 other name
Description: bacterial LSU rRNA
Rfam family: Bacterial large subunit ribosomal RNA
Source: RNAcentral
CUACGCUGCGAUAAGCCGUGGGGAGCUGCGAAGAAGCUUUGAUCCACGGAUUUCCGAAUGGGGAAACCCACCUUCGAUAGCCGGAACUCCAAGACCUUGUGUUUUGGGGUUCGACCAGAAAUGGAAGAAAUCAGACCGCGAGGUUUUGGAUUUCCGGUUAUCAAGAGAAGGUAUGAGACUUCCGAAUAAAAUAGGAGGUUUUAAGCGAACCCAGGGAACUGAAACAUCUAAGUACCUGGAGGAAAGGACAUCAAUCGAGACUCCGUUAGUAGUGGCGAGCGAACGCGGACCAGGCCAGUGAUACAUCAAAGACAAUCGGAACCUGUCAGGAAAGCAGGGCCUCAGAGGGUGAUAGCCCCGUACGAGUAAUGCGAUGAUGUAUCCACGAGUAAGGCGGGACACGUGAAAUCCUGUCUGAACACGGGGGGACCACCCUCCAAGCCUAAGUACUCCUCAGCGACCGAUAGU